Molecule: ribosomal RNA, 459 nt
Filed under: uncultured bacterium
Lineage: Bacteria
Description: partial 16S ribosomal RNA
Rfam family: Bacterial small subunit ribosomal RNA
Source: RNAcentral
CCUACGGGGGGCAGCAGUGAGGAAUAUUGGUCAAUGGCCGGAAGUCUGACCCAGCCAAGUCGCGUGAGGGACGACUGCCCUAUGGGUUGUAAACCUCUUUUAUAAGGGCAGAAUACAUGCUACGUAUAGCAUGAUGCCUGUACCUUAUGAAUAAGCAUCGGCUAACUCCGUGCCAUCAGCCGCGGUAUUACGGAGGAUGCGUGCGUUAUCCGGCUUUAUUGGGUUAAAAGGGUGCGUAGGCGGUUUUUUAAGUUAGUGGUUAAACGUCGGGGCUUCACCUUGAUUUGCCAUUAAUACUGUAAGAUGCGAGUUCAGACGAGGUAGGCGGAAUAAGUUAAGUAGCGGUGAAAUGCUUAGAUAUAACUUAGAACUCCGAUAGCGAAGGCAGCUUACCAGACUGCGACUGACGCUGAAGCACGAGAGCGUGGGUAGCGAACAGGAUUAGAUACCCGAGUAGUC